UACGAAGGGGGCUAGCGUUGUUCGGAUUUACUGGGCGUAAAGCGCACGUAGGCGGAUCUUUAAGUCAGAGGUGAAAUCCCAAGGCUCAACCUUGGAACUGCCUUUGAUACUGGGGAUCUUGAGUCCGGGAGAGGUGAGUGGAACUGCGAGUGUAGAGGUGAAAUUCGUAGAUAUUCGCAAGAACACCAGUGGCGAAGGCGGCUCACUGGCCCGGUACUGACGCUGAGGCGCGAAAGCCAGGGGAGCGAACGGG
RNAcentral lists this ribosomal RNA (253 nucleotides) under uncultured bacterium. RNAcentral describes it as "partial 16S ribosomal RNA". It matches the Rfam family "Bacterial small subunit ribosomal RNA", at positions 524 to 776 of the family's 1533-position model. The record is from RNAcentral.